Molecule: long non-coding RNA, 418 nt
Organism: Sapajus apella (tufted capuchin)
Lineage: Eukaryota; Metazoa; Chordata; Mammalia; Primates; Cebidae
Exons: 2
Source: RefSeq, a predicted model, not a curated record
UAAAAUUUUAGGAUUAUUGUGUUAAAUUUGAGAAAACAUAUUUCUUUUUUACAUGAUCUCUAAGAUUUCAGGGCAAUUCAAGUUUUUUUGGGCAACAAUUAAUCUUAAAUGCUCUUUGAAGGAUGACACUCAUUCACCAGGCCUGUUGUUUCUGUCCUCUUUGUAAAGAUGGAGCAUGCGUUUUAUGUUAUCUUUAUCCAUUCGAAUACAUCAUGUCAAGUCAACAAGAAGUUUACUUCAUUUUCCUGGAGAAUUCACUGAGAGUUGAAGGUCAAGGUGCUUCAAAUAUCAUGAGAGGUGGCUGGGCAAGUGGAUCCCACCUGUAGUCCCAGCACUUUGGGAAGCUGUGGCAGAUAGGUCAGCUGAGAUCAGAAGUUGGAGUUCAGCCUGGGCAACAUGGUGAAACCCCAUCUCUACU